RNAcentral lists this ribosomal RNA (197 nucleotides) under uncultured bacterium. RNAcentral's name for it is "partial 16S ribosomal RNA". It matches the Rfam family "Bacterial small subunit ribosomal RNA", at positions 335 to 524 of the family's 1533-position model. The record is from RNAcentral.
ACUCCUACGGGAGGCAGCAGUGGGGAAUUUUGGACAAUGGGCGCAAGCCUGAUCCAGCCAUUCCGCGUGAGUGAAGAAGGCCUUCGGGUUGUAAAGCUCUUUCAGCUGGAGUGAAACGGUGCGCUCUAACAUAGCGUGCUAAUGACGGUACCAGCAGAAGAAGCACCGGCUAACUACGUGCCAGCAGCCGCGGUAAU